Molecule: long non-coding RNA, 953 nt
Organism: Polistes canadensis
Lineage: Eukaryota; Metazoa; Arthropoda; Insecta; Hymenoptera; Vespidae
Exons: 3
Source: RefSeq, a predicted model, not a curated record
UAUCAAUCACACGCAUAUACCAGCGAGAUAAAAGUAUAAACGAUAAUUAGGAUAGAGUCUGUUGAUUUGCCUUGCGUGUUUUUGACUUGAGUGAUCGUUCGACAGACACAUUUGACUGUUGUACUUCUAAGGAAGAGAAGAAGGAUUAUUAGAGGGAAGAACAAGGAGGUGAAGACUAGGAUAGUAGUAGUGUUGGAUUGUAGGCGAUAAAGGAGCCGUUGGAAGACAACGACUCGUCAGCAGGGGUAGAAAGAAAGAAAGGAAAAAGGAAAGAAAUAGAGAGAGAGAGAGAGAGAGAGAGAGAGAAAUAGAGCUAGAUAAAGAGAGGGAUGAAGGGGAGGUGGUAGUGGUACUGGUAGUGGUGGUGGUGGUGCUGCUGCUGCUGUUGCUGGUUGAAGAGGAGUAAAAGAGGAGAGGGAAGUGUUGGGGUAAUAAAGAAAGAGAGAUAUAGCUGAGUGACAGAAAAAUAAGUGAAAGGGAAGGAAGAUUCGUGUUAUGGAAGAGAAACGAGAAACAGGAUCACCACCCGAGUGGAUAACGGACGAAUGGGUGUCGUCCUCCUGCUUAAAAAGGAAGGAUCGUGUCGGGGACACUUGUGAAUUUAGUGUAUUAUCAUAGUACGAAGGACUUUCAUUUGUCCUUCUAUUACAAAACUCGCCUCUGGAGCUUGCGAUAUUGCGAGACACGAGAGCGUGAAAUUAGAGGGAGAAAAAAAAAUGGUUGGAUUUUGUUGGAGGGAUGAUCAUAGGAGAGGACCGACAACAACAACGGGGCAAACAAAACUAGCGUAGCGUUCGAUAGAUUGCGAUUUUUCGAAGAGGAAGAAGAAGAAGAAGACGACGACAAAGAGGGAGGAGGAGGAGGAGGAAGAAGCAAAAGAAGAGGAGGAGGUGGUGGUGUGUUGGAGAAGAGAGGAGAGGAGAGGAAGAAGAAAAACGGGGAGAUUCGUGGUA